CUACGGGCCGCAGCAGUGGGGAAUAUUGCACAAUGGGCGCAAGCCUGAUGCAGCCAUGCCGCGUGUAUGAAGAAGGCCUUCGGGUUGUAAAGUACUUUCAGCGGGGAGGAAGGGAGUAAAGUUAAUACCUUUGCUCAUUGACGUUACCCGCAGAAGAAGCACCGGCUAACUCCGUGCCAGCAGCCGCGGUAAUACGGAGGGUGCAAGCGUUAAUCGGAAUUACUGGGCGUAAAGCGCACGCAGGCGGUUUGUUAAGUCAGAUGUGAAAUCCCCGGGCUCAACCUGGGAACUGCAUCUGAUACUGGCAAGCUUGAGUCUCGUAGAGGGGGGUAGAAUUCCAGGUGUAGCGGUGAAAUGCGUAGAGAUCUGGAGGAAUACCGGUGGCGAAGGCGGCCCCCUGGACGAAGACUGACGCUCAGGUGCGAAAGCGUGGGUAGCGAAUGGGAUUAGAUACCCUCGUAGUC
This 464-nucleotide ribosomal RNA is filed under the name uncultured bacterium. Its description in RNAcentral is "partial 16S ribosomal RNA". It matches the Rfam family "Bacterial small subunit ribosomal RNA", at positions 339 to 795 of the family's 1533-position model. The record is from RNAcentral.